GGACGAAUGGUGCUAAAAUACAUGGGUGUCGCUAUACGUAACCGAAACUUUUUGGUGUUAGCACUUUCUGCGCUCCGAUCAACGCGUAGCAUAGCAAUGGCAGCAUCGACCGCUUCACGUUUCUUCUCUCUCCCCCACCCCCCUUUCCUUCACAAACCCAUCAUUCCUCUGCAAACAAAACCUCUUCGAUCGCUGCUUCUUCAGUCUACCCCCUCUCAAAUUCCGAACUAGAUAGAAACAAUGAGCUCUUUCUUUCGUGGGAACCAUGCUGACAUCGAGAAAAGAUUCUUCCAACUUCUCCCCGACAAGCGAUCAGCGGUGUUCUACUUUAGUUUCAUGGGUGUGUCCAAUUAAUUCCCCAUUCGUUUUCUUGGCAAGAUAAUUGACUACUAUCUAAUGUGGUUCUGUGCAGUUAUUUUCCUGUUCAUGAUUGAGCAAUUUGCGCCGAAUAUGCUGGUCUUUGUGAUAGUGUGUAUCUUGUUGAUUCCUGUCAUAAUUUGGAUGUAUUCCAGUUGUCAGCGAGGCCGAGGUGAAGCUCCUGCGGUAUCAGGAAAUGAACCGAGGGGGCAAAUGAGAGCACACCUACCGGAUAUUAGAACACAACUUGCUCUUCUCGAUCGUGGAUUUGAUGAUCGAGAAGAUGAUGUGCUGAGGAUGAUGAUAUAGCACCAGGGGUUCCAACAAUGCGUGAGGAGGACAUGAGUGUUCUUCCUGUUCAUGAACACAUAGGUCAAAUGCGUAGACGAUGAUACAACAUAUAGUUCAAGUACAUUCCUGAAGUGUGAAUCCAUGUUCAACCGCACAUAUCCCAGGAUACUAGAUGGACUUCGUACUAAGCUUGCUGCAUAGGAAAUA
This is an RNA transcript of Asparagus officinalis (garden asparagus), 855 nucleotides long. RefSeq lists it as uncharacterized. The transcript has 5 exons. NCBI's taxonomy places the organism in Eukaryota, Viridiplantae, Streptophyta, Magnoliopsida, Asparagales, Asparagaceae. The record is from RefSeq and is a predicted model, not a curated record.